AUUGAACGCUGGCGGCAGGCCUAACACAUGCAAGUCGAGCGGAUGAAGGGAGCCUGCUCCUGGAUUCAGCGGCGGACGGGUGAGUAAUGCCUAGGAAUCUGCCUGGUAGUGGGGGAUAACGUCCGGAAACGGGCGCUAAUACCGCAUACGUCCUGAGGGAGAAAGUGGGGGAUCUUCGGACCUCACGCUAUCAGAUGAGCCUAGGUCGGAUUAGCUAGUUGGUGGGGUAAAGGCCUACCAAGGCGACGAUCCGUAACUGGUCUGAGAGGAUGAUCAGUCACACUGGAACUGAGACACGGUCCAGACUCCUACGGGAGGAAGCAGUGGGGAAUAUUGGACAAUGGGCGAAAGCCUGAUCCAGCCAUGCCGCGUGUGUGAAGAAGGUCUUCGGAUUGUAAAGCACUUUAAGUUGGGAGGAAGGGCAGUAAGUUAAUACCUUGCUGUUUUGACGUUACCAACAGAAUAAGCACCGGCUAACUUCGUG
RNAcentral lists this ribosomal RNA (484 nucleotides) under uncultured bacterium. RNAcentral describes it as "partial 16S ribosomal RNA". It matches the Rfam family "Bacterial small subunit ribosomal RNA", at positions 30 to 507 of the family's 1533-position model. The record is from RNAcentral.